AUGUGUUCUGAAUUUGGUUUUAUAGUCUGGGAUAAAGAUUGUUGGUUUUCAACCUUAUGACUAUCUAGGAAAGCCAAGAGGCUGAUUAAGUUCCGAAGAACAGAAAGAGAUAUAAAUGCAUUUUAGAAAAUCUAUGAUUUUGAAUGAAAGCAAUUGCAUUUAAUCUUUUGAAGAAAAAUGAAUCAGUUGUGACUGUAAAAUGAUUUUCAUAAAGAAUGACAAUCACAACCGAUGAAAGAAUUAAAGAUUUUCCUUUACAAACUAUUUUGAGUACGAGAGUCUGAAUCAAUGCAUAAAAGGUUUAAAUGAACUUGUCUUUGAAAAAGACA
RNAcentral lists this long non-coding RNA (329 nucleotides) under Daucus carota (carrot). RNAcentral describes it as "long non-coding RNA (DCAR_LNC007053)". The record is from RNAcentral. Lineage: Eukaryota; Viridiplantae; Streptophyta; Magnoliopsida; Apiales; Apiaceae.